Molecule: ribosomal RNA, 2929 nt
Filed under: Bacillus velezensis
Lineage: Bacteria; Bacillati; Bacillota; Bacilli; Caryophanales; Bacillaceae
Description: 23S ribosomal RNA
Rfam family: Bacterial large subunit ribosomal RNA
Source: RNAcentral
GGUUAAGUUAGAAAGGGCGCACGGUGGAUGCCUUGGCACUAGGAGCCGAUGAAGGACGGGACGAACACCGAUAUGCUUCGGGGAGCUGUAAGCAAGCUUUGAUCCGGAGAUUUCCGAAUGGGGAAACCCACCACUCGUAAUGGAGUGGUAUCCAUAUCUGAAUACAUAGGAUAUGAGAAGGCAGACCCGGGGAACUGAAACAUCUAAGUACCCGGAGGAAGAGAAAGCAAAUGCGAUUCCCUGAGUAGCGGCGAGCGAAACGGGACCAGCCCAAACCAAGAGGCUUGCCUCUUGGGGUUGUAGGACACUCUGUACGGAGUUACAAAGGAACGAGGUAGAUGAAGAGGUCUGGAAAGGCCCGCCAUAGGAGGUAACAGCCCUGUAGUCAAAACUUCGUUCUCUCCUGAGUGGAUCCUGAGUACGGCGGAACACGUGAAAUUCCGUCGGAAUCCGGGAGGACCAUCUCCCAAGGCUAAAUACUCCCUAGUGACCGAUAGUGAACCAGUACCGUGAGGGAAAGGUGAAAAGCACCCCGGAAGGGGAGUGAAAGAGAUCCUGAAACCGUGUGCCUACAAGUAGUCAGAGCCCGUUAACGGGUGAUGGCGUGCCUUUUGUAGAAUGAACCGGCGAGUUACGAUCCCGUGCAAGGUUAAGCAGAAGAUGCGGAGCCGCAGCGAAAGCGAGUCUGAAUAGGGCGAAUUGAGUACGUGGUCGUAGACCCGAAACCAGGUGAUCUACCCAUGUCCAGGGUGAAGUUCAGGUAACACUGAAUGGAGGCCCGAACCCACGCACGUUGAAAAGUGCGGGGAUGAGGUGUGGGUAGGGGUGAAAUGCCAAUCGAACCUGGAGAUAGCUGGUUCUCUCCGAAAUAGCUUUAGGGCUAGCCUCAAGGUAAGAGUCUCGGAGGUAGAGCACUGAUUGGACUAGGGGCCCCUACCGGGUUACCGAAUUCAGUCAAACUCCGAAUGCCGAUGACUUAUCCUUGGGAGUCAGACUGCGAGUGAUAAGAUCCGUAGUCGAAAGGGAAACAGCCCAGACCGCCAGCUAAGGUCCCAAAGUAUACGUUAAGUGGAAAAGGAUGUGGAGUUGCUUAGACAACCAGGAUGUUGGCUUAGAAGCAGCCACCAUUUAAAGAGUGCGUAAUAGCUCACUGGUCGAGUGACUCUGCGCCGAAAAUGUACCGGGGCUAAACGUAUCACCGAAGCUGCGGACUGUUCUUCGAACAGUGGUAGGAGAGCGUUCUAAGGGCUGUGAAGCAAGACCGGAAGGACUUGUGGAGCGCUUAGAAGUGAGAAUGCCGGUAUGAGUAGCGAAAGAGGGGUGAGAAUCCCCUCCACCGAAUGCCUAAGGUUUCCUGAGGAAGGCUCGUCCGCUCAGGGUUAGUCGGGACCUAAGCCGAGGCCGAAAGGCGUAGGCGAUGGAUAACAGGUUGAUAUUCCUGUACCACCUCCUCACCAUUUGAGCAAUGGGGGGACGCAGGAGGAUAGGGUAAGCGCGGUAUUGGAUAUCCGCGUCCAAGCAGUUAGGCUGGGAAACAGGCAAAUCCGUUUCCCGUGAAGGCUGAGCUGUGAUGGCGAGCGAAUUAUAGUAGCGAAGUUCCUGAUUCCACACUGCCAAGAAAAGCCUCUAGCGAGGUGAGAGGUGCCCGUACCGCAAACCGACACAGGUAGGCGAGGAGAGAAUCCUAAGGUGAUCGAGAGAACUCUCGUUAAGGAACUCGGCAAAAUGACCCCGUAACUUCGGGAGAAGGGGUGCUCUGUUAGGGUGCAAGCCCGAGAGAGCCGCAGUGAAUAGGCCCAGGCGACUGUUUAGCAAAAACACAGGUCUCUGCGAAGCCGUAAGGCGAAGUAUAGGGGCUGACGCCUGCCCGGUGCUGGAAGGUUAAGAGGAGCGCUUAGCGUAAGCGAAGGUGCGAAUUGAAGCCCCAGUAAACGGCGGCCGUAACUAUAACGGUCCUAAGGUAGCGAAAUUCCUUGUCGGGUAAGUUCCGACCCGCACGAAAGGCGCAACGAUCUGGGCACUGUCUCAACGAGAGACUCGGUGAAAUUAUAGUACCUGUGAAGAUGCAGGUUACCCGCGACAGGACGGAAAGACCCCGUGGAGCUUUACUGCAGCCUGAUAUUGAAUGUUGGUACAGCUUGUACAGGAUAGGUAGGAGCCUUGGAAACCGGAGCGCCAGCUUCGGUGGAGGCAUCGGUGGGAUACUACCCUGGCUGUAUUGACCUUCUAACCCGCCGCCCUUAUCGGGCGGGGAGACAGUGUCAGGUGGGCAGUUUGACUGGGGCGGUCGCCUCCUAAAAGGUAACGGAGGCGCCCAAAGGUUCCCUCAGAAUGGUUGGAAAUCAUUCGCAGAGUGUAAAGGCACAAGGGAGCUUGACUGCGAGACCUACAAGUCGAGCAGGGACGAAAGUCGGGCUUAGUGAUCCGGUGGUUCCGCAUGGAAGGGCCAUCGCUCAACGGAUAAAAGCUACCCCGGGGAUAACAGGCUUAUCUCCCCAAGAGUCCACAUCGACGGGGAGGUUUGGCACCUCGAUGUCGGCUCAUCGCAUCCUGGGGCUGUAGUCGGUCCCAAGGGUUGGGCUGUUCGCCCAUUAAAGCGGUACGCGAGCUGGGUUCAGAACGUCGUGAGACAGUUCGGUCCCUAUCCGUCGCGGGCGCAGGAAAUUUGAGAGGAGCUGUCCUUAGUACGAGAGGACCGGGAUGGACGCACCGCUGGUGUACCAGUUGUUCUGCCAAGGGCAUCGCUGGGUAGCUAUGUGCGGACGGGAUAAGUGCUGAAAGCAUCUAAGCAUGAAGCCCCCCUCAAGAUGAGAUUUCCCAUUCCGCAAGGAAGUAAGAUCCCUGAAAGAUGAUCAGGUUGAUAGGUCUGAGGUGGAAGUGUGGCGACACAUGGAGCUGACAGAUACUAAUCGAUCGAGGACUUAACCAA